This 253-nucleotide ribosomal RNA is filed under the name uncultured bacterium. Its description in RNAcentral is "partial 16S ribosomal RNA". It matches the Rfam family "Bacterial small subunit ribosomal RNA", at positions 524 to 776 of the family's 1533-position model. The record is from RNAcentral.
GACGUAGGGGGCUAGCGUUGUCCGGAAUUACUGGGCGUAAAGAGCUCGUAGGCGGCCUGUUAAGUCGGGUGUGAAAGCCCUCGGCUCAACCGAGGAAUUGCACUCGAUACUGGCGGGCUAGAGUCUGGUAGAGGGAGGUGGAAUUCCCGGUGUAGCGGUGAAAUGCGCAGAUAUCGGGAGGAACACCGGUGGCGAAGGCGGCCUCCUGGGCCACGACUGACGCUGAGGAGCGAAAGCUGGGGGAGCGAACAGG